This 378-nucleotide unclassified non-coding RNA is filed under the name uncultured Gammaproteobacteria bacterium. RNAcentral's name for it is "contains 16S-23S intergenic spacer region". The record is from RNAcentral. Lineage: Bacteria; Pseudomonadati; Pseudomonadota; Gammaproteobacteria.
UCCGGUUUGUCACCGGCAGUCCCAUUAAAGUGCCCAACUAAAUGAUGGCAAUUAAUGGCAAGGGUUGCGCUCGUUGCGGGACUUAACCCAACAUCUCACGACACGAGCUGACGACAGCCAUGCAGCACCUGUGUUACGGUUCCCUUUCGGGCACCAAUCCAUCUCUGGAAAGUUCCGUGGAUGUCAAGACCAGGUAAGGUUCUUCGCGUUGCAUCGAAUUAAACCACAUGCUCCACCGCUUGUGCGGGCCCCCGUCAAUUCAUUUGAGUUUUAACCUUGCGGCCGUACUCCCCAGGCGGUCAACUUAGUGCGUUAGCUGCGCCACUAAGGAUUCAAGAUCCCCAACGGCUAGUUGACAUCGUUUACGGCGUGGACUAC